AACGAACGCUGGCGGCAGGCUUAACACAUGCAAGUCGAACGCUCGUAGCAAUACGGGAGUGGCGGACGGGUGAGUAACGCGUGGGAACGUGCCCUGAGGUACGGAAUAACUGAGGGAAACUUCAGCUAAUACCGUAUGAGCCCCGAGAGGGGGAAAGAUUUAUCGCCUUGGGAGCGGCCCGCGUCGGAUUAGCUAGUUGGUGGGGUAACGGCCUACCAAGGCUUCGAUCCGUAGCUGGUCUGAGAGGACGAUCAGCCACACUGGGACUGAGACACGGCCCAGACUCCUACGGGAGGCAGCAGUGGGGAAUCUUGCGCAAUGGGGGCAACCCUGACGCAGCCAUGCCGCGUGAACGAUGUAGGCCUUAGGGUUGUAAAGUUCUUUUACCCGUGACGAUGAUGACGGUAACGGGGAAUAAGCUCCGGCUAACUUCGUGCCAGCAGCCGCGGUAAU
This 453-nucleotide ribosomal RNA is filed under the name uncultured bacterium. RNAcentral describes it as "bacterial SSU rRNA". It matches the Rfam family "Bacterial small subunit ribosomal RNA", at positions 29 to 524 of the family's 1533-position model. The record is from RNAcentral.